RNA transcript from Benincasa hispida (wax gourd), 3021 nucleotides. It is a transcript of the gene named Man1-Src1p-carboxy-terminal domain protein, with no coding region annotated. The record is from RefSeq and is a predicted model, not a curated record. NCBI's taxonomy places the organism in Eukaryota, Viridiplantae, Streptophyta, Magnoliopsida, Cucurbitales, Cucurbitaceae.
AAGAUUACAAUCACCCCUCUUAAAAACGAGGCAAAGGAAAUAAGCUGGAGGGAACGCAGGCCGCGAAGAACAACGUUGAUCGAUGUCUUCAACUCCGAAGAAGCGAACCAAAGUCAAACGUAAUACGAACUCCGAUGUCGGUUCUCGAGGCGAUUCGUCUGUUUCAUCUUCUACAAUGUUGCUGAAGUCUAUCAAGGAACCGCCUCGCGAUUUCUUCCCCUCGAAGGAUGAUCUUGCUGCGCUAAUUACUGUACUCUUCAUCGCCUGCUUGAUUUUUGUGAGUUGUGACUUCUUCGUAUCUAGACUUGCAAGUCGCCAACCGAGGCCUUUCUGUGAUACCGACGCUGAUUCUUUGGAUUUGCUUUCUGAUGUUUGUGAGCCUUGUCCAAGGCAUGGAGAAUGUCGUGAUGGUAAGUUGAAGUGCCUUCAUGGUUAUAGAAAGCAUGGAAGGUUAUGUAUAGAAGAUGGAGUAAUCAAUGAAGCAGUUAAUAAACUUUCAGAAUGGCUAGAAUCUCACCUCUGUGAAGCAAAUGCCAAGUUCUUAUGCGAUGGAAUUGGGAUAGUUUGGGUUAAAGAGGAUGAUAUAUGGGAUGAUCUAGAUGGUAAAGAGCUGGUGGAAAGUAUUGGCUCUGACAACACCACUCUUACGUAUGCAAAGAGUAAGGCGUUGGAAACUAUUGGCGGGUUAUUUCAGACGCGACAAAAUUCUCUUGGGAUCAAGGAAUUGAAAUGUCCAGAUCUGCUAGCUGAAAGUUACAAGCCUUUUACUUGCCGUAUUCGUCACUGGGUUUUGCAGCAUGCUUUCGCUGUUUUGCCAGUUUUCUUACUGCUUGUGGGAUGCACAUGGUUACUUUGGAAACUUUACCGAAGACAAUAUAUAACAAAUAGAGCUGAAGAUCUGUACAACCAGGUUUGUGAAAUACUUGAGGAAAAUGCUUUGAUGUCAACAAGAAACAGUGGUCAAUGUGAAUCAUGGGUUGUUGCUUCGAGGUUACGUGAUCACCUUCUUUUGCCACGAGAGAGGAAGAAUCCUUUGUUAUGGAGGAAGGUAGAGGAGUUGGUUCAGGAAGACUCACGAAUAGAUCGUUACCCGAGACUAGUUAAGGGUGAUGGAAAAGAAGUAUGGGAAUGGCAAGUAGAAGGCUCUUUGAGCUCUUCAAAGGAAAAGAGACUGGCCACCAAAUCCAAUUCCGGGAAGGCAAUGGGAGUAAGUACUGACCAAAUGCAUAGUAAAAUGGAGAACGAGCCAAAGCCACUAGUUUUGUGAUAUGGUGCUUGUCCAGGUGGAUACUAUAGCUUAGCUGGUUGAUCUGUCUAGUUAGAGAUGGCAUAAAAGCUUAAUAGGAAAUAAUCAUCAGAACAGAUUUGGAUUCAUGUACAUUGGCCUUUGACAUUAAAGAAGAUUCUGUUUUUAACAGUUACGUCGUGGAUUGCAUUUAAGUGUUUGAAGUUGUUUUUUUGUUUUUUUAAUGAACGGCAAGGUGCAUUGGUGUCCAUAUUAUGUCAUAAGCUUAAUUAAAAGGCUGUAUGGCGUUGAGUUAUAAUUAGGGGAGCUCGCAUUGAAUUCAAUUUGGGGCACUCCCAAGUCCUCAUAUGUUCUUCUGCCGGCAUUCUCUCUCAUUCUAAUUGAAAAGAAUCCAGACAAUCCACAAACCACAAUUUUUGACUAUUAGAUACCUAUUACCAACUACUUGAAAAGUCCUUGCAACAAAGUUCAAAGGAAGUUUGAUUUGACCUAGCGAUCCUAAGUUUGAAGUUGUUUUUAAGAGUGAGCAAGUAUAUAACUUUCUUCGGUUAAUGUCAAGGUCACAUGAAUCGGGAUCUGAAAGGUUAGAGAUCUUGAUAGGGUUAUCAAAGAAUCUAAUGGAGCACCUUUUUCAAGGAUAUUGGCACUUGCAUGCACUGUAAUUACCGAAUUUGGGAAACGGAUGAAACAUGGUAACCACAACACAUUGUUGUGGUGGGAGUUUUAACUAACAAACUUUUAACCAUCAUACAUCUUUAUCUUCAACAAUCCUAUUAGUGUUAGACUUGUUGGAGCAAUCACGGUACAUAGUCAAACGAGAAAUAAUGUUGAAAGGGAAAAACCAAUGAAUCUACAAAGUGAUUGAAAAAUGACUUUCUAGGAAUAGACAUCUUGAUACUAAGUCAUGAUAUCGAUAAUUUUCAUCUCACUUGCUAUCAAUCAAAAUCCUUAGGAAGAAUAAAACCGUAUCAUUAGUUAAAUACAAUAAAUGCUCACCAAGUUCAUAGUUGAUUAAAGAUCAAUGCAGAAAAAUAAGGUAAAUUGAGACAAAAGUGUCAUAAUGCGGAAAAACAAUAUAAUUAAAAAAAGAAAGGAAAAAUAGAAAGUUGAGAUAAAGUGAGAUUUGAAAAAAAAAAAAAAUGGAUCCUAUCUUAAGAUAAAAAAUUUAUGGCUAUUUUUAUGCUAUAUUUUGAUCCUAUUGAUAUUCAAAUAGAAGAAGGGCAAAAUUUAAUUACACUCUAGGUCUAGAUAUUAUUGAGAGUAUUGGAGGAUAUUUUGAAUUUUGUUCAAUAAAAUAAUGUUUGGAAUUGCAAAUAUCGCGAGUAAAACACAUGGUAUUCAAGAACCCAUUCAAAGUUGUGAAAUGAAAUGGAAACUUGGAAGAUCUAGGAUUUGAGUGUAAAGGAUGUUGUGGGCUUCGAAGAAGAAUUAAUUGAAAAAUACCACGCAAACUCAAAGUUGCACAACUUUUUUAUUGACAAAAAUACGAGCAAGAAAUAAUAUGAGAUGACGGCACUUAAAAUUAUAUUAUAUUUGCCGUCCUUGGCAAAGCUGAAGAAGAAGAAGUUACGAUCUAAGGUGGUCGUUUUGUUGCCUGUGAAGAAGAAGAAGAUGAGAAGGAUGAAUAUGCGUCCAUUUUCAACCCAAUACUCAUCUAACCUGACCUGACAUAUUUUGGUGUUUUUUCACCCCAUAAUCUACAUAUCAAGUCAACUGUGUUAUGGAAUUUUUGUAUAUAAAGCACUUAAGUUUGGCACAUAUACAUUGAUAGUUUA